RNAcentral lists this long non-coding RNA (394 nucleotides) under Arabidopsis lyrata. Its description in RNAcentral is "long non-coding RNA (ALYR_LNC002560)". The record is from RNAcentral. Lineage: Eukaryota; Viridiplantae; Streptophyta; Magnoliopsida; Brassicales; Brassicaceae.
UUUUUUUUUCAGAUCUCGCAUAUCAAGCCUCCGCCACCGCGUCUUGAAACCAUCGUUCACCACCACCACCACCAUUGACGAUGUUCAACGCAUCAGCGCCGUGACAUCAGCCCUGGAGUUCAACGCAACGACGCCGUCACAUCAGCCAUGGAGUCUGAUCCAAAUUCCGAUUGCUGCAAUGUUUUCAACGGGCUACAAUGAGAGCUCCUAGAUCUGAUGCCCGACGAACCCUCACCCUCCACCUCCAUCCACCACCAGAUCCGACGCCACGAGACCACCGAAGAUGCUUGACGGAAAGACAUCUCGUGAAGCAUUUUUUAAUUUUUUUUUUUUUUGGUAAAGUUUUCAUUUUUCUUUUUAGUUAAAAUCAUUGUAUUUUAUAAAUAAAUCAAUU